This is a non-coding RNA of Triticum aestivum (bread wheat), 115 nucleotides long. Lineage: Eukaryota; Viridiplantae; Streptophyta; Magnoliopsida; Poales; Poaceae. The record is from Rfam.
AUUGUACUCCCUCCGUUCGAAAAAGCUUGUCCCUCAAAUGGAUGUAUCUACCACUAACUUGGUGCUAGAUACAUCCAUUUGAGGGCCAAGCUUUUUUGGGCGGAGGGAGUAUAAG